This 548-nucleotide ribosomal RNA is filed under the name Haliclystus sanjuanensis. Its description in RNAcentral is "partial 16S ribosomal RNA". It matches the Rfam family "Bacterial large subunit ribosomal RNA", at positions 1830 to 2523 of the family's 2925-position model. The record is from RNAcentral. Lineage: Eukaryota; Metazoa; Cnidaria; Staurozoa; Stauromedusae; Haliclystidae.
GCCCCUAGACCCCUAUUAGAGGUGACGCCUGCCCGAUGGUUUAUCCUAAGUUAAUUAACAUUAACGAACCUGAACUCAAUGGCCGCGGUAUUUCUGACCGUGAUAAUGUAGCGAAAUCAAUCGUCACUUAAUUGCUGACCUGUAUCAAAGGUAUUACGAAUGUUCCCCUGUCUCAAGAAAAAUCCCUGUGAAAUUGAAGGGGCCGUGCAUAUGCGGCCUAUUUUCCUGUAAGACGAAAAGACCCUAUUGAGCUUUACUAUAACCUUUCCUCAAAACACUAAGAAAAUGAGUAAACCUCUAAUCUUAGUACUAGGAAAGGCUGGUAGUUUCGUUGGGGCGACGACCUUUCAAAAAGUAACAAAGGUUAGCGAUGGUUUUCUAUUUAAUGAAUCUUAGCCUGACUGUUUGGCUUAUAAGCCUACCAGACACUUUCGUGAGCCAUAAUUUUCCAUUUUAGGGGCAACCCUAAAAUGCCAUAAUAUAAAAGUUACCAUAGGGAUAACAGCGUAAUUUUGUCGAAGAGCUCUUAUCGAUGACAAAGAUUGCGA